GACGAACGCUGGCGGCGUGCUUAACACAUGCAAGUCGAGCGGUAAGGCCCUUUCGGGGGUACACGAGCGGCGAACGGGUGAGUAACACGUGGGUGACCUGCCCUCAGCUCUGGGAUAAGCCUGGGAAACCGGGUCUAAUACUGGAUAUGACUCCAUGACGCAUGUUGUGGGGUGGAAAGCCUUGUGCGGCUGAGGAUGGGCCCGCGGCCUAUCAGCUUGUUGGUGGGGUGANGGCCUACCAAGGCGACGACGGGUAGCCGGCCCGAGAGGGCGACCGGCCACACUGGGACUGAGACACGGCCCAGACUCCUACGGGAGGCAGCAGUGGGGAAUCUUGCGCAAUGGGCGAAAGCCUGACGCAGCGACGCCGCGUGAGGGAUGACGGCCUGG
RNAcentral lists this ribosomal RNA (390 nucleotides) under uncultured bacterium. Its description in RNAcentral is "bacterial SSU rRNA". It matches the Rfam family "Bacterial small subunit ribosomal RNA", at positions 28 to 419 of the family's 1533-position model. The record is from RNAcentral.